CAGAAGGACUUUCCUGUUGCAGAAAAUCGUGACAAAAGCAAAAUCAGAGCAAAGCUUGAAAACGGUGUUCUUUAUGUUAACUUCUUUUUUUGAUAAGGACCAAUAUUUAUUUGGACAAUAUGUAAUCCCAUUACAUUGAAGCACAACUCCAUAUCAGCUGCGGAAAGGCUUAAGCGCAUAGGAUCCUUCUGGUUUGCCUUUAUGUUAACUUCAGCA
This 216-nucleotide long non-coding RNA is filed under the name Nicotiana benthamiana. RNAcentral describes it as "long non-coding RNA (NBEN_LNC000519)". Lineage: Eukaryota; Viridiplantae; Streptophyta; Magnoliopsida; Solanales; Solanaceae. The record is from RNAcentral.